AGGGAAUCUUCCACAAUGGACGAAAGUCUGAUGGAGCAACGCCGCGUGAGUGAUGAAGGUUUUCGGAUCGUAAAACUCUGUUGUAAGGGAAGAACCAGUACGUCAGGCAAUGGACGUACCUUGACGGUACCUUAUUAGAAAGCCACGGCUAACUACGUGCCAGCAGCCGCGGUAAUACGUAGGUGGCAAGCGUUGUCCGGAAUUAUUGGGCGUAAAGCGCGCGCAGGUGGUUUCUUAAGCUGAUGUGAAAGCCCACGGCUUAACCGUGGGGUCAAUGGGAACCGGGAGAAUUGGAGGCAGAAGAAGGAAGGUGGAUUCCAAGGUGUACGGGGGAAUGCGUAGAGAUUUGGAAGAACCCCAGGUGGGAAAGGCGCUUUUUUGGCUUCAAAUGAAGCUUGGGCGCGAAAACAUGGGGAGCAAACA
Molecule: ribosomal RNA, 423 nt
Filed under: uncultured Rummeliibacillus sp.
Lineage: Bacteria; Bacillati; Bacillota; Bacilli; Caryophanales; Caryophanaceae
Description: bacterial SSU rRNA
Rfam family: Bacterial small subunit ribosomal RNA
Source: RNAcentral